AUUUCAACAAAGUUCUUAUAGAGAAUGAAGAACAUGCCGUCUUCCUUAAAUGGAGGCAUAAGCCAGAUGACAGUAUGACGUUACAUCAAUGUGAUUUUAGUAAUGACGAACCAGCUUGUACUUUACACUUUACAGAGGACUUUAACAAACUGACAUUACUUGAGAGGAGAAGUAAUCGCUAAACUUAAAUCCUACCAGUGGAGUUGCGUGGCGGGUCUCUGGCCUUGCGGGGAGGACUGAAAUGCGAUGCACCUGGAAAACCAGCAGCUGUAGCAGCAGCAGCAGCAGCAGCAGCAGGACCCGGGGUGCUUUUGAUAGGUUGAGCUACUGCAGAGUAAAGAGAAGCACAAAACAUAAAAUUGGAGAGUGAUGCCGACAUCGUGAAGUGGCAGGUGGCACGUUCCGAUCUCAGAACGGCACGAACCGCAGUCAGGACUGGCAUCCACCCUGGCGUGGACGCGCCUUCGCAUUCAUAUGCAAAUCCCC
Molecule: long non-coding RNA, 486 nt
Organism: Gasterosteus aculeatus aculeatus (three-spined stickleback)
Lineage: Eukaryota; Metazoa; Chordata; Actinopteri; Perciformes; Gasterosteidae
Source: Ensembl